GCCCAUGUGGCUCAGUGGCAGAGCACUCCCUUGGUAAGGGAGAGGUCGGCAGUUCGAUCCUGCCCAUGGGCACCA
RNAcentral lists this transfer RNA (75 nucleotides) under Ralstonia pickettii. RNAcentral describes it as "tRNA-Thr". It matches the Rfam family "tRNA". Rfam says of the family: Transfer RNA (tRNA) molecules are approximately 80 nucleotides in length. Their secondary structure includes four short double-helical elements and three loops (D, anti-codon, and T loops). Lineage: Bacteria; Pseudomonadati; Pseudomonadota; Betaproteobacteria; Burkholderiales; Burkholderiaceae. The record is from RNAcentral. RNAcentral also lists the same sequence under 30 other names.